UACGGGGGGAGCAAGCGUUGUUCGGAUUUACUGGGCGUAAAGGGCGCGUAGGCGGCCACCGCAAGUCACUUGUGAAAUCUCCGGGCUUAACCCGGAAAGGUCAACUGAUACUGCGGGGCUAGAGUGCAGAAGGGGCAACUGGAAUUCUCGGUGUAGCGGUGAAAUGCGUAGAUAUCGAGAGGAACACCUGCGGCGAAGGCGGGUUGCUGGGCUGAUACUGACGCUGAGGCGCGAAAGCCAGGGGAGCGAACGGG
This 254-nucleotide ribosomal RNA is filed under the name uncultured bacterium. Its description in RNAcentral is "partial 16S ribosomal RNA". It matches the Rfam family "Bacterial small subunit ribosomal RNA", at positions 524 to 776 of the family's 1533-position model. The record is from RNAcentral.